Molecule: ribosomal RNA, 489 nt
Filed under: Streptococcus intermedius
Lineage: Bacteria; Bacillati; Bacillota; Bacilli; Lactobacillales; Streptococcaceae
Description: bacterial SSU rRNA
Rfam family: Bacterial small subunit ribosomal RNA
Source: RNAcentral
GACGAACGCUGGCGGCGUGCCUAAUACAUGCAAGUAGAACGCACAGGAUGCACCGUAGUUUACUACACCGUAUUCUGUGAGUUGCGAACGGGUGAGUAACGCGUAGGUAACCUGCCUGGUAGCGGGGGAUAACUAUUGGAAACGAUAGCUAAUACCGCAUAAGAACAUUUACUGCAUGGUAGAUGUUUAAAAGGUGCAAAUGCAUCACUACCAGAUGGACCUGCGUUGUAUUAGCUAGUAGGUGAGGUAACGGCUCACCUAGGCGACGAUACAUAGCCGACCUGAGAGGGUGAUCGGCCACACUGGGACUGAGACACGGCCCAGACUCCUACGGGAGGCAGCAGUAGGGAAUCUUCGGCAAUGGGGGGAACCCUGACCGAGCAACGCCGCGUGAGUGAAGAAGGUUUUCGGAUCGUAAAGCUCUGUUGUUAAGGAAGAACGAGUGUGAGAAUGGAAAGUUCAUACUGUGACGGACUAACCAGAAAGGAC